UGUUUCGGCUAGGGGGCCAUCCCGGCUUACCAACCCGAUGCAAACUGCGAAUACCGGAGAAUGUUAUCACGGGAGACACACGGCGGGUGCUAACGUCCGUCGUGAAGAGGGAAACAACCCAGACCGCCAGCUAAGGUCCCAAAGUCAUGGUUAAGUGGGAAACGAUGUGGGAAGGCCCAGACAGCCAGGAUGUUGGCUUAGAAGCAGCCAUCAUUUAAAGAAAGCGUAAUAGCUCACUGGUCGAGUCGGCCUGCGCGGAAGAUGUAACGGGGCUAAACCAUGCACCGAAGCUGCGGCAGCGAACGUAUCACUUAAAGCGAUUCAGCGGGUUACGAUUGACGGAGCGAAGCGACGUCAAAGCGUAUACAAAGUCGAGUCGGUUUAAGGAUACGUUCGUUGGGUA
This 403-nucleotide ribosomal RNA is filed under the name Salmonella enterica subsp. enterica serovar Corvallis. Its description in RNAcentral is "partial 23S ribosomal RNA". It matches the Rfam family "Bacterial large subunit ribosomal RNA", at positions 911 to 1230 of the family's 2925-position model. The record is from RNAcentral. Lineage: Bacteria; Pseudomonadati; Pseudomonadota; Gammaproteobacteria; Enterobacterales; Enterobacteriaceae.